This 252-nucleotide ribosomal RNA is filed under the name uncultured bacterium. RNAcentral's name for it is "partial 16S ribosomal RNA". It matches the Rfam family "Bacterial small subunit ribosomal RNA", at positions 524 to 776 of the family's 1533-position model. The record is from RNAcentral.
UACGUAGGUCCCGAGCGUUGUCCGGAUUUAUUGGGCGUAAAGCGAGCGCAGGUGGUUUAUUAAGUCUGGUGUAAAAGGCGGUGGCUCAACCAUUGUAUGCAUUGGAAACUGGUAGACUUGAGUGCAGGAGAGGAGAGUGGAAUUCCAUGUGUAGCGGUGAAAUGCGUAGAUAUAUGGAGGAACACCGGUGGCGAAAGCGGCUCUCUGGCCUGUAACUGACACUGAGGCUCGAAAGCGAGGGGAGCAAACAGG